Molecule: non-coding RNA, 30 nt
Filed under: Rattus norvegicus (Norway rat)
Lineage: Eukaryota; Metazoa; Chordata; Mammalia; Rodentia; Muridae
Source: RNAcentral
UCAGAAUCCAUUAUGGUGCAGUUCUUCCAC